Molecule: ribosomal RNA, 522 nt
Filed under: uncultured bacterium
Lineage: Bacteria
Description: bacterial SSU rRNA
Rfam family: Bacterial small subunit ribosomal RNA
Source: RNAcentral
CUAGGAAUCUUGGGAAUGGGCGAAAGCCUGACCCAGCAACGCCGCGUGGGCGAUGAAGGCCUUCGGGUCGUAAAGCCCUUUUGCGGGGGACGAUGAUGACGGUACCCCGCGAACAAGCCACGGCUAACUACGUGCCAGCAGCCGCGGUAAUACGUAGGUGGCAAGCGUUGUCCGGAUUUACUGGGCGUAAAGGGCGUGCAGGCGGCUUGUUAAGUUCGAGGUGAAAGCUCCCGGCUCAACUGGGAGAGGUCCUCGGAUACUGGCAGGCUUGAGGGAGGCAGAGGAAAGUGGAAUUCCCGGUGUAGUGGUGAUAUGCGUAGAUAUCGGGAGGAACACCAGUGGCGAAGGCGGCUUUCUGGGCCUUACCUGACGCUGAGACGCGAAAGCGUGGGGAGCGAACCGGAUUAGAUACCCGGGUAGUCCACGCCGUAAACUAUGGACACUAGGUGUGGGGGGUAUCGACCCCCCCGUGCCGAAGCUAACGCAAUAAGUGUCCCGCCUGGGGAGUACGGCCGCAAGGCU